Molecule: long non-coding RNA, 316 nt
Filed under: Theropithecus gelada (gelada)
Lineage: Eukaryota; Metazoa; Chordata; Mammalia; Primates; Cercopithecidae
Description: lncRNA (ENSTGEG00000012056.1)
Source: RNAcentral
CGAGGAACGACACGGGCAGCCCAGGUGGAAACUGCAGGCACAAGCCGGGACGCCGCGGGUUUAAAACGUGCGCGCAAGAGGAAGACACUUAAACAUAAAGAUGAAGUGCCUAAUUCAAGGUCACACAAUGUCGGGGAUGGACCUCCAGAUUUCCUUACUGACCUGCAUUAUCUGUGGAUACCUGAGUGAAUUACACAGCACCCAUUUUAUAGAUGAAGCCACUGAGACAUGGAGCAACUGACUGAGUAGUCACUGCCCCACCCCUGGAGCCUCACACAUGACUCGUCUCCUCUCAGUGACCACAGGUUGGUUGAGG